RNAcentral lists this ribosomal RNA (116 nucleotides) under Paramormyrops kingsleyae. Lineage: Eukaryota; Metazoa; Chordata; Actinopteri; Osteoglossiformes; Mormyridae. The record is from RNAcentral.
UUUAGAAGCCAUACCACCUGCAGUUCAGACAAGGCCAUUCUUCUGAAGUUAAGUUGGUCUGGGUCUGGCCAGUACUUGGAUGAGGGACCAACUAUGAAAGCUGGCUGCUGCUGGAA